Molecule: non-coding RNA, 15932 nt
Organism: Podarcis lilfordi (Lilford's wall lizard)
Lineage: Eukaryota; Metazoa; Chordata; Lepidosauria; Squamata; Lacertidae
Source: the annotation of a GenBank genome assembly
GCCAGGUCUCCUGCUUUGAAAAGCACAGCCUCCUGUUUUGAUGGACUAUCAGAGAACAGUUCUCUGAAGGUGUCCUCUGUUGGAGAGCUAUUUAUCCAGUCCGAGUCUGCUUUAGAGAGAAAGAACCAUUUAAAAAAGGAGAUCGGGAUCCCACCAACAGUGAGUAGUACCUGGUGAGCAGAAGGUGCAGGCAGAACUGGUCACUAGGGCUGGGCGAUAUCUGGUUUUCAACUUCAUGAUCAGAGCCGGAUUUAGGUUUGAUGAGGGCCUAAGCUACUGAAGGUAAUGGGGCACUUUAUUUGUGACAUUUUAGGGAGCAGGCUAGCAGGCGGGGCCCAUUACUUACAUCAUAGGAGCCUACACAACACAAAACACUCUUUCUGCAUGCAUGUUUUAUUUUAUUUGUUUUAGGGUUUUUUGAAAUGUACAUCCAGUGUUGUUUUUUUCCUUUAAAUUUUUUGGGAGCUCCCAGGAGAGUGGGGUCAUAAGCUAUAGCUUGUUUAGCUUAUACGUAAAACCGGCACUGUUCAUGACAUAUCACCAGCUAAACAUCCUGAUAUACUGAUAUAUCACCAUGUCUGAAAUAAGGAUGGAGCUAUGCAGAUGGAGCUAUGGAUUGGCUGGCUUCAUUGUGAUUUUUGCAUAGCACACACACAAUCAGAGAGAGAGAGAGAGAGAAGGAAACAGAGACAGAUUGAUUCGCAAUAUAUUUCCAGGUCAAAAAUUAUUAAAUUAAUAUCAUGAUAUGGACUUGAAACUGGUUUUGGGUGAUAUAUCGCCCAGCACUCACACACCUCAUGAUUUGUGAUAUACAGUGGUACCUCGGGUUACAUACACUUCAGGUUACAUACGCUUCAGGUUACAGACUCCGCAAACCCAGAAAUAGUACCUUGGGUUAAGAACUUUGCUUCAGGGUGAGAACAGAAAUCGUGCUCUGGCAGCGCGGCAGCAGCAGGAGGCCCCAUUAGCUAAAGUGGUGCUUCAGGUUAAGAACAGUUUCAGGUUAAGAACGGACCUCCGGAACGAAUUAAGUACUUAACCCGAGGUACCACUGUAUUGCCAGGUCAAAAUCUAUGAAACCAAUAUCACAAUAUGGACUUCAAACCUGUUUUACUGGUCGCUUGGUGUUUUCUUCACUAUGCUUUGCAUUUAUUUUAAAAUUAUUAUACUUAUUUUAAAAUGUGUGUCCUUCCAUAUAAAUCACCACAUGCAAAUUGACCUCUUUUUUCGGCAAUGUACGCCCUCCUUUUUUUGGCCACAGCCUCUACCUCUUGCUCCUCCUCCUUGCCUGUCCCACUCUGUAGCCAUGAAGUCAGAGAACUGACUCCAUCUCAUGGUCUUAAAUAAAUGGUUCCCAUUUGCGGUUUGCCAUGAUUGGCAUUUGCAUCUAAUAAAUCAAAAAAAUUAUUUCAUUAGAUUAAAUGACAAAAAAUACUGGCCUCCUGCAAUUUGUAUAAUUUAACAUGCUUGCUGCCAAUUUGCUGAAUGUAACCAAUUAAUUAAGCCUGACCGUUCAGCCUGAUCUUGAUGUUUCAAGGUAGGUUAGUACACAGAGAAGGAGGUAUAAAAAACUUCUGGGAGGUAAGGAGUGUUGUAAGUCAGUGGGAAACCUAAAUGUGAGUAGCCAGGGAUGCUUAAAAUUGUUUCAUUUAUUACAUAACUGUAAUGAAGUUUAAUUAAAUUACCAAUACAGUCUGGAUCUUGGAAGCCAGGAGCAGGUUUAUUUCUUAUCAAACAGCUGGAUCAAAAACAACUUGCAUGAUUCCAUCCCACCCACCAUCCAUCUUCUGUCUUAUCAUACUUUAAGUAAGAGGGCCAUGCCUUGCUUUUCUUUUAAUGAAAACUGAAAAUGGAGGGAGGUGGAAGAUCAUUGCAAGUGUGAGGCCAGCCCACAUUCCUCCAUGCAUGUGUGGAAUUUCACGGUUGGGUUAAAACUUUCCUACUCAAGGGAAAAGGGACACGGGUGGCACUGUGGGUUAAACCACAGAGCCUAGGACUUGCCGAUCAGAAGGUCGGUGGUUCAAAUCCCCGCAAUGGGGUGAGCUCCCGUUGCUCGGUCCCUGCUCCUGCCAACCUAGCAGUUCGAAAGCACAUCAAAGUGCAAGUAGAUAAAUAGGUACCGCUCUGGUGGGAAGGUAAACAGCGUUUCUGUGCGUUGCUCUGGUUCGUCAGAAGCGAUUUAGUCAUGCUGGCCACAUGACCUGGAAGCUGUACGCCGGCUCCCUCGGCCAAUAAAGCAAGAUGAGCACCACAACCCCAGAGUCUGUCACGACUGGACCUAAAAAUCAGGGGUCCCUUUACCUUUACCUUUACCCAAGGGAAGUUUAGCUCGAAUGAUGGGGAGAUUUGGGAUGAAACUGCUUUUGUCUUUGGCCUUUCAGGUGGGAAACCUUUGAAUUUUGGUGGGUACUAAAAUGAGGUGCUCUCUGUGGGAAUGUUUAGGGAGGCAGGAGAGAAUAUAUUGUUUAAUUAUAUCCUUUCCAACUGCGUUAGCAAGUUCUGUAAUUUAGCAGAGUAACAUUCUCCUUUUUAAACUUACACAGCAGAUAGGUUUGCCAGGCUUGUUUAAGCCUCUAAAGUAAGUUUCCUGGUAAUUCCCCUUUCAUUCCCUCCUAAAAAGAAUAGACGCAACACAGUCUUGUAUAAAAGUAUAAAAUAGUUUACUCACUCAUUCUGUUCACAGAUGGAUCCCAGAAGGCAGACUUAAGUUACAAAAUAUAUACACCUGUAAUCUAUCCCAUAAGGAGAUAGUUCCUUUGUCCUCUCUUGGCUGGAAGCAUUGCGGGCUGAUGCUUCUUCUACGAAAGCAAAAUGGAGAAGAGAGAGAUGUGGUGACCAGUCCUGUGCUUUUGUUACCUGCACAGGUGAGGUCACGCCCACCUCUGGUCACAUGUAGAGGAAGUUUGUCCCAGCACAGGAGGAAACAGAAAGUUUAUCUACUGGCUGGACAAACAUCCCUCUUCUUGUCUAAACAUGUCCAUUCCAGGAAUGUUGUAUUUGACUGCUCUGUGUUUCAUACCCUACACUCUCUACCCUUGUUUAGGUUAAUAACUGUCUCUUCAUCAAACUUAGAGGUAGGGAACUUCUUUCAUCUGAGGGCCACAUUCCAUUCUGAGCAAUGUUCUGGGGGCCACUGGGCAGUGGUGAGUAAAGCCAGAAGGAAAAUAGGAUGGAGCCAUGAACAUAAAUUUGAUCAUGUAGCACCAAUCCUGGCACAACUGCACUGACUGCCAAUUAGUUUCCAGGCCCAAUUCAAAGUGCUGGUGUUGACCUAUGAAGCCUUACAUGGCUCAGGACCACAAUACCUCAAGGAUUGCCUCUCCCCAUAUGAACUAACCCAGACUCUGCACUUGUUAUCUGAGGGCUUUUUCUAUGUCCCCCCAUCCCAGAGAGGUUCGGAGGGUGGCAACAAGAGAAAUGGCCUUUUCUGUGGUGGCUCCCUGAUUGUGGAAUGUUCUCCCCAGAGAGGCUCAUCUGGUGCUAUCACUACAUAUCUUUAGGCACCAGGCAAAAACAUUCGUCUUUACCCUAUGGCUGUUUAAAUAAUCUACGACCUGUGAAAGUGUGGGGGAGAGGACAACUAUUAUGAUGACUACAGCGGUACUUCGGUUUUCAAACGUAAUGCGUUCCGGAAGACCCUUCCAAAAUGUUUGAAAACCGAAGCAUUUACUUCCAGAAGCAUUUACUAUGGAAAACUCAAUACAAAAGCCGUAUGGCACUUUCAACUUCUGAAAAGUGUUCGAAAACCGAAGCGGUUACUUCAGGGUUUUUGGCAUUUGAAAACCGAAACAUUUGACUUCCGAGUCAUUCAAAAACCGAGGUAUCACUGUAUAGUGGUACCUUGGGUUAAGAACUUAAUUCGUUCUGGAGGUCUGUUCUUAACCUGAAACUGUUCUUAACCUGAAGCACCACUUUAGCUAAUGGGGCCUCCUGCUGCCAACACGCUGCCGGAGCACGAUUUCUGUUCUCAUCCUGAAGCAAAGUUCUUAACCCGAGGUAAUAUUUCUGGGUUAGUGGGGUCUGUAACCUGAAGUGUAUGUAACUGUAGCAUAUGUAACCCGAGGUACCACUGUAUUUAAUUAUUAGGCUGUCAGUCAGUCAGCUUUUUAUUAAGUUUUCACUGUGUUUUUAUCAAUGAUGUUCUGUAAUGUGUUUUUAAUGUUGUACACUGCCUUGGGAUCUUUUGAUAAAGGGUGGUAUAUAAAUUGAAAUAACAGAAAUAGAAAUAUGGUAGGCUAGUUUCUACCCACACUCACACACCCUUCUCCAUCCUCCAUCUAGAUGAGGAAGAGGCAUGAUCAGAGCUCCAGGACCAUAGCUGUCAACUUUCAGAUUUGAAAAUAAGAGAUCAGCAGCCUCACCUGUCCCAGGGACAGUCUACGGGAUAUUUAACAAUCCGGGAUAGCAGCAAGAAGCAGCAGGAAAUGGUGCUGGAAUAAGGGAAGGUUGACAGCUAUGUCCAGGACACAAUCCAGAUAAGCAAAAACACAUGGCAAGAGUGCAAAUCAGGGUUGGUGGGGGGUGUGGCUAGAGGAGAAGGGGUGUGGCUCAGGAGUGGAUGUGGUCUGGGGAGAGUCCUGAGGGCCAGACUAAGAGGUAAAGUUCCUAACCAAAGCAUUACCUAGGUGGGUUGGUGCCAGCACCCAAUUAUGUGAGGCAAGGGAUGGAGAACACACAUAGUGAUUAUGUCACAUCAAAUGUUGCCUUAUACAGAACCACACCAGGGGUAGGCAACCUAAGGCCCUGGGGCCAGAUGCAGCCCAAUCGCCUUCUCAAUCCGGCCCACAGACGGUCCAGGAAUCAGCAUGUUUUUACAUGAGUAGAAUGUGUCCUUUUAUUUAAAAUGCAUUUCUGGCUUAUUUGUGGGGCAUAGGAAUUCUUUCAUUUCCCCCCCCAAAAUAUAUUCUGGCCCACCACAUGGUCUGAGGGACAGUGGACUGGCCAUCAGCUGAAAAAGGUUGCUGACCCCUGAACCACACUUUACCUGAGAGAACAAAUCUGGGAGCAGCGGUGGCUCCAUGUUUGUUGGUAACAUCUUUAGUUAUGUCCUUAGAUGUCAGAGUUAUUUACCAUAGCUGUCAACUUUUCCCUUUUCUUGUGAGGAAUCCUAUUCAGAAUAAGGGAGUUUCCCUUAAAAAAGGGGAAACGUUGACAGCUAUGUUAUUUUCUAGUAUUUGAUUUAUUUUCAAAAAAUUCAGGUCGCCUUUGCCAAAGCAGCACACAAUAUUAAAACCAUUCAAAUAACAGGCCGUAAAAUUAGAAAAACAUAAUCUAAAACACAUUCGUAUGCUGAAAAGGAAUUAAAGCAAUAGCACAUAACACAGUAGCACCAUAAAACAACAUACAUGUAAAACAAGAAGCAGAUUUAUUUAUUUUUAAACCCAGCAGCAGUAAAUCACCAGCGUAAAUACAACUUGAAAGUAGUUUGGAACGAAGAGUUUACAGAGCUUAUUUAAAAACCAGGAGCAGGAGCAGGGGACCUGUUGGCCUCAAGGAAUUGGACUCCAACUCCCAUCACCCCCAACCAGACUGGCCAAUGGUCAGGGAUUAUGGGAGCUGUAGUCCAACAACAGCCAAAGGGCUUUAGGAUGGUGCUUGGCUGGCACAAUUUGAACAGGUGAAGCCUUUUAUAGUAUGGAAACACAACUAUGGGGAAAGUUUCACUUGUUAACAGUCUGUCUGUCAGACAUCUUAUUACUUGUGUGUGGCCCCUUGUUUACUUUUAAGCCCUAUACUUUGACAUAGCAGAUUGUACCAUUCCGAAUACUGGUUUUUCAUUUUUUAUUGAAAGGAUCAACUUUUUAUGAACUUAAAUGUUCAUUUGCAUGAACGUGAACUCAUAGUUUGUUUUGGUAAGGGAUGAACUCAAACUAGUUCCUUUUCAACGAACAUUUCACGCAGCGGAGGAAAGCCAAACUGAUAACAGGGACAUUUCAAGAGCACAAGGAACAACUGUAAUUCAGAAAUGGUUUCCAAUAUGUUUUGAUCCCUUUGUUGGGAUGAAUUGUUCAGUGCAUCUCCUUCUACUACUUAUCCAGGCCUGAGUCUCCAAACAUGCCUUUACAAACAUGUAAUUUAGGAGAAAUUUGCAGUAAAACGCUGGUGAAUUUUCAGAAGGACUUUUUAAAAAGAUUGCCAAGUGACAUGGAAACAUAGAGAGUGAAAAAUUUGGAAAAUAAGAAAUGGACAGCGGCUAGGUUCUACCGUACUUGCACUGUUGCAAGCAGCAUGCCUCUGAAUGUCAGUUGCCGGAAAUCGCAAGCAGAGAGAGCACUGUUGCAUCCCGAGUGCAGGUGGCGCUGCGGUCUAAACCACUGAGCCUCCUGGGCUUGCCAAUUGGAAGGUCAGCAGUUUGAAUCCCCACAACGGGGUGAGCUCCCGAUGCUCUGUCCCAGCUCCUGCCAACCUAGCAGUUUGAAAGCACACCAGUGCAAGUAGAUAAAGAGGUACCACUGUGGCGGGAAGGUAAACAGCAUUUCCAUGUGCUCUGGUUCCCGUCACACCAGAAGCGGUUUAGUCCUGCUGGUCACAUGACCCGGAAAGCCGCCUGUGGACAAACAGCGCCUCCCUCUGCCUGAAAGCAAGAUGAGCGGCACAACUCCAUAGUCACCUUUGACUGGACUUAACUGUCCAGGGGUCCUUUACCUUUACCUUUCCCACCCUCUGGUGAAGAUAUCAGCUUCCCCUUCCCUUCCAUCUCUGGACAAACAGCUUUCUUAAUAUUGGGAGCAAGGGCAGAAUGCCGCAGCUGCAGCAACAAAAAUAAAGAUGGAAGAACCUUCAUUAAUUGCAUAAGAGUGCCUGCAAGAAUCUCCAGAUGGGCUAGAUGACAUGAGAUCUGCCUGUGUGUUUCUUGCCCCACAGUAUAUAACACCACCACACUACAAACCCUUUGCCAGCACUAGGAAACCAUGUUCUCCAACCUCAGGGCAUUGGGAGUCAACCAUGGGAUUCGGCCCUUAUGCGAUCGUGUUUCUUUAACCAAAAAAAACCUUCCCAUAGCUCAUGCCAUCCGCUUCUCUGGUCUAUUUUACUCAAUGAGCCAAGUUUCGCCAAGUUCUGAAUGUGUACAUCUUUGUGAUAGGCCCCUGGAGCUCAUUUUACAUGAAGGCAACACAGGUUGAUGUAUUUUUAAAUGGCUUGAUUUUUAUCACCUUGCUUAAUGAUUUGUCACAUUAUUUAUUAGACGGUGGGAUAUCCGGAGGGAUCCAUCGCAUUAACGUAUAAAUAAUGUGGCAAAUAGUUCAAUAGAGCCAUAAAAAAGUGAUUUCAAAAUAAAUUGACCUAUGUUAAGCUACAUGUAAACUAAGGCUGUGAAUGAUAAUGCAUGCCAUGCCCUUAAGUCUGAAAAAUGGGGUCCAGGGAGGAAGGCAGCUAAAAAGUCCUCUAGAGAACAAAGGCUUUGGGCAAGCCACUAGUACUUACACGGGGUGUAGAGAACCCUUAGCCUUACAGAUGUUGAUCCAAUGGGCCAGGGAUGGUGGAAAUUGUAGAUCAGUAACAUCUGGAAGGCCAGAGGUUCCCAACGCCUGCACUAAAGCUUUCACUUCCUAACUGUGAUAGGGAAAUAGUAAUACUGGCCAACCUUGCAGGGCUGUUGUCAAGAUAAAAUCAUGAGAACAUAAGAGCAUCUGCGGAAUAACUAACAACAAGAUCCACCCUUCUCCUACCUCCUGCUUUUCCAAAAUCAGUUUGCUCAAGACUAUCCGGUGUUAUGUAGAUCAUCUCAUACCUGACCACCUGGGUUGGCCUUUUUUAACCUGACCAAGGUAUGGCAACCCAGCCAGUCACCACAUCAGUGAAGAAAAAAUAAGCAUUGUAUCAAGAUGCUUAAUGUAACCAAGUACCUAAUAAUAUUGUUUUAUUUCAGUUAUUAAGUGUGGAGCUGUGGAAACAGGUCCCUGACAGGUUGUUAUAGCCCUUUAUUGUUCUACAUAUCAAUUUCAGUUCCCAGUGCUGGGCUGGCACACAAAAUGCAUUAUGCCCUUAUUAGUCCAUUCGACCAGCUGCCACUGGGCCCUCCCUCGCCUUCCGCCUUCCAGACUCCACCAGCAGCUGAAGAAAGCUGCAGAAGAAGAAGCAGAGAAGCACUUUCUGAGGUUGCUGCUGUUCCUUUGACCAGUCUGUAUUCUACACUUCUGUUACCUGCCGUUCCAUUUUCUCCCUCGGAAAAGAGAGCCACUAAAGUGUAGUGGUGAGAGUGUCUGACUAGGAGCUGGGACACCAGGGUUCAAAUUUCCGCUGGUGGGGAAGGGGUGCUGGCAUCCGUGCCGAUUCCAGCAAGAUCUUGCCGAAAUUGCGCAAGAUACUGCAGAGCACUUUUAUAUGCCUGUUGUCUUUGUCCAUGGAGUUUUCUUGGCAGGGAUACUGGAGUGGCUUGCCAGUUCCUGCUCCAGGUGGAUCACAUUUGGUCAAAAUUCUCCACUAUGACCUGUCCGUCUUGGGUGGCCCUGCAUGGCAUAGCUCAUAGCUUCUCUGAGUUAUUCAAGCCCUUUCGCCACAACAAGGCAGUGAUCCAUGAUCUGCUUAAAAAGCAGAGACAUCACCUUGCCGACAAAGGUCCAUAUAGUUAAAGCUAUGGUUUUCUCAGUAGUGAUGUAUGGAAGUGAGAGCUGGACCAUAAAGAAGGCUGAUCGCCGAAGAAUUGAUGCUUUUGAAUUAUGGUGCUGGAGGAGACUCUUGAGAGUCCCAUGGACUGCAAGAAGAUCAAACUUAUCCAUUCUGAAGGAAAUCAGCCCUGAGUGCUCACUGGAAGGACAGAUCCUGAAGCUGAGGCUCCAAUACUUUGGCCGCCUCAUGAGAAGAGAAGACUCCCUAGAAAAGACCCUGAUGUUGGGAAAGAUGGAGGGCACAAGGAGAAGGGGACGACAGAGGACGAGAUGGUUGGACAGUGUUCUCGAAGCUACCAACAUGAGUUUGACCAAGCUGCGGGAGGCAGUGGAAGACAGGAGUGCCUGACGUGCUCUGGUCCAUGGGCUCACGAAGAGUCGGACACGACUAAAUGACUAAACAAUAACAACUGCAGAGCACAUGAGAUUUAAGCUUGAUCUUGCCUGGCACCACUUCUCCACCAGAGACGGAGACGGUGGGGUGCGGGUGGCACAGGCAGCAGCAGCGACAAAGCAGUGAAACGGGACAUGGUGAACCUUCCGCUUGACCAUGAAGCUCAGUGGGUGACCUUGGGCCAGUCAUUGCCUCUCAGCCUAACCUACCUCAUAGGGUUGUUGUAGGGAUUCCAUGAGGAAGGGGGAAGAACCAUGUGUACACCUUGUGUUCCUUGGAGAAAAAGGUAAGAUAUAAAUGCAAUAAAUAAGUAAUAGCUAAAGGUGGGCUAUACAUACAAAAAAACAAGUACAUGGAUGGAGGAGUAGACGCCCUUUCAGGUGUUCAUCCCUGCAGACUCCACCCCCAAUCUUUGCGCAUUAAGGCAGACGGUCUGAAGGGAAAUUCUUUGCACAAAUUCUUAGAGUCCUCUCUGCAGUCAGGUAUCCUGAGCACAGUUCCCACACACGGGAAGGAUUCUUAGCGCUCUCAGGUGAACAUUCUUUAAAUCUCCCUCAGUGCUUCGCAGAUGAGUAGGAAAUAAUUAUAAUAAGUCAGUAGUAAUAAUAAUAAUAAUAAUACUUAUACCCUGUCCAUCUAUCCCCAGCCACUCUGGGCGGCUUCCAACAGGAUAUUAAAAACACAAUAAAACACCAAACAUUAAAAACUUCCCUAAACAGGGCUGCCAUCAGAUGUCUUCUAAAAGUCAGAUACAGUGGUACCUCUGGAUGUGAACGGGAUCCGUUCUGGAGCCUUGUUCACAUCCUGAAGCGAACGCAAUCUGUGUCUGUGCGUGCACGGGUUGUGAUUCGCCGCUUCUGAGCAUGCGCAUGACGUCAUUUUUGAGCAUCUGCGCAUGCACGAGUGGCGAAACCCAGAAGUAACGCGUUCCGUUGCUUCCGGGUCGCCACAGAGCAUAACCUGGAAAUGCUCAAGCUGAAGCGACUUCAACCUGAGGUAUGACUGUAGUUGUUUAUUUCCUUGACAUCUGAUGGGAGGGCCUUCCACAGGGCGGGCGCCAUUACCGAAAAGGCCCUCUGCCUGGUUCCCUGUAACCUCACUUCUCGCAGUUAGGGAGGGAACCGCCAGAAGGCCCUCAGAGCUGGACCUCAGUGUCCGGGUUGAACAAUGGGGGUGGAGACACUCCUUCAGGUAUACUGGGCCGAGGCUGUUUAGGGCUUUAAAGGUCAGCACCAACACUUUGAAUUGUGCUCGGAAACAUACUGAGAGCCAAUGAAGGUCUUUCAGGACAGGUGUUAUAUGGUCUCGGCGGCCGCUCCCAGUCACCAGUCUAGCUGCCGCUUUCUGGAUUAAUUGUAGUUUCUGGGUCACCUUCAAAGGUAGCCCAACAUAGUGCGCAUUGCAAUAGUCCAAGUGGGAGAUAACUAGUGUCUGUAACCCGAGGUACCACUGUAUUUAUUCACACAUUGUGUGACAUUUUAUUCACACAUUUUUUUUCAUCACCUGAAUAGGGAUCGAUAGAUGGAUGGACCAUUAGAUUCAGAUUACAGUGGUACCUCGGAUUACAUAUGCUUCAGGUUACAUAUGCUUCAGGUUACAGACUCCGCUAACCCAGAAAUAUUACCUCAGGUUAAGAACUUUGCUUCAGGAUGAGAACAGAAAUCGUGCUCCGGCGGUGCGGCAGCAGCAGGAGGCCCCAUUAGGUAAAGUGGUGCUUCAGGUUAAGAACAGUUUCAGGUUAAGAACGGACCUCCGGAACGAAUUAAAUACUUAACCCAAGGUACCACUGUACUAUAGUAUGAUUCCUGCUGUUAUUUUAUUCCUUUUUUAAAAAAAGAAACUAAAAAAUGAAUGACAAUUUCUUCACAUCCGAAGUGCUUUCAUAAGAAAACAGGAGGGGGUACCCAGAGAGCUCUUUAAUACUGACCUUUCAUAGGAAGAAGCCAUCGAGGAAGAUUGAGAAAUGACUAUUCCAAAGAGGCUCUAGCCAUCGCAAUGGAUAUCAGCUCAUCCUGCGCCUCCUUCUGCUCAUGCCAGAUAUUUGAUCUCCUCCAAUGUUGCCAAAUGAUCUUAUCCUCCAGCUGUAAGAUGCAUCUUGCAUCUUUCUUUUUUUUUAGCUUUUACUAUGUGCUACAGCUUAAUUAUUUAACACCACCGGGUUAUGCAAGUUGAUGCAUAUGUUUCCAAGGGACAGAGUGGGAGUGAUUGAUUGGCUGACUGACAGAUGGAAAUAAACAGCAGAGAUGGGGAGGGCAGGGGGAGGAAAGAGGAUGCUCCAUUUUUAUUGCAAGUGUCAAAGGGACAAAGCAGAGAGGAAAGUUAAAAACCGGCUGCCUCGCAGACUCAAAGCCCUCUUGGGUACUCAUGCCAAUCCACUCACUCCUUCCGCUCACUUGUCAUUUGCUCAGAAAUCAUCCCUGCUCUGAAAAUGAUCUUACAAAGUCACGGGCCGUCAGAAGACCAAGAACACGUUGCAGGAACCUAUGUGGAUGUCUGUCCAAUUCUACAUUCAGGCUUUGCUUUGCUCAGGUUAAAUGUCGAAGACAGAAUAAACCUCUGCAGCUCAAAGCAGCGGGGUAUUUUUCUUAUGGAAGUUGUAGAAUCCCUAUUAUUGCAAGCAUGUAAAAAACACCAUUUGCGUAAUAGAUAAGCAGCUACCCUGAGGUCCACACGCACACGGGAUAAAUUAAUCCUGCCUCCCUUCAAAAGAAGGAACGAGAUAUCGUACUUCUCAACUGCCCCAAUUAAAUUGGGACAUCCCAUUUUGGGGUGUGAGCUCAAAGUGCAAUAUUGUGUGGGUCAUGUGACUUGUGCAGGUUUUUCGCAGUGACAUCUUGGAGCGUAUAAUAAUAAUAAUAAUAAUAAUAAUAAUAAUAAUAAAUAAAUAAAUUUUAUUUAUACCCCGCCCUUCCCGGCCAGAGCCGGGCUCGGGGCGGCUAACACCAGUAAAAUUACAGUAAAAACAUAAUAAGAAAAACAACAACAACAAUUUAAAAUACAGGUUAAAAUGCAAUUUAAAAUGCAGCCUCAUUUUAAAGUAGCCCAUAGAUCAAAGCCAUAAGGGGAGGGAAACAUAAGGGUCAGACUGAGUCCAAACCAAAGGCCAGGCGGAACAGCUCUGUCUUGCAGGCCCUGCGGAAAGAUGUCAAGUCCCGCAGGGCCCUAGUCUCUGUAUGAGACAUAUUUUGUGAUUCUUAUCCUCACCUCUACAAGUUAAGCAUAACGAUUGUUGGUUGCUCAACUGUCUCAAGCAUAGAUUGGACAAAUGCAAAACUAUCACCUUGUGUUGUUGAGCACCCUGUACAACAUGGGUCGGCAAACCAAGGACCGUGGGCCGGAUCAGGCCCAAUUGCCUUCUAGAUCCGGCCCGCGGAUGGUCCGGGAAUCGCCGCAUGGAUCGCCAGCGCAUGCAUUCUUUCCCUCUCCCUCACACAGUGGCGCUUUUCUCCUCAGGGAUGGAACAAUCUUGUCCCACACUGGGCAUUGUUGAUGGUGGGAGUCGGCUCACCCGCCUGUCCAUGUCAGCAGGGCGGCUCUGUGAAAAGGGUGUGGGACGCUGGCUUCUUGCUGCUGCUGCUUUUUCCUCCUGCUUCUCCUCCCUCUCCCUCAGUCUGCCCUUCCUUCCUUCUCUGCGCCCCUUCUCCACGCUGCUUCCUCACGUGCUUUCUUCAUUGCCGCCUGCCUGCCUCCUUCAUUCCUCCCAUGGCAUUCAGGUGGGUUGUUGCGGUGGCCAUGGCUGCCGCUUGCGGGUUGGCGGGCGGCUCUGUCUUCUUCUCCUGCAGCAGCAGAUGGUGGCUAAAAGCUCUGGCGACGCCCCGGUUCCCCUGCCUCCGUCUGCUGCUCCUCCGCCGGGGCUGCUGCUUCUGUCUUCACCGGCCAACGCAGCCUCCUACCCCACCACAGCGCCUGGCUGGCUGGAGAAGCCCAACUGCGGCUAUUGGGAUGACAACUGGGACAGGUAAAGCGAAGCAUCUUCAGGCCUCUUUGCGGGUGGGCGAAAAUUGUUCAUUAUUUUAAUUUUUUCCCCAAAAUAUAGUCUGGCCCCCCACAAGGUCCGAGGGACAGUGGACCGGCCCCCGGCUGAAAAAGUUUUCUGACCCCUGCUGUAAAACAUGGUAAGAAGAGGAAUGGUGCACAAUAAGGCAACACAAUACAGCCAACUGACUCUUUUGGAAGAAGUACUGUAUAGCGGGUCCUCUAGCACACGGGGAAACAGCAGUCUCUGGGCAUAGAGGAGUGGUGCAGUUUCGAUUGUGGUUUUGUAAAUAGAAAUCCAAAGGUAAUUCACACUGAGAAAACAACGGGCUCAAGCUUGAGAAUGCAGUCCAGCAGGACUAUUUAGCAAAUGUUUGAACGUGCAAACAAAAGAAGAACCUACUGGAUCAGGCCCAUCUACUGCAGCAUCCUGUUCUUUGGCAAUUCUUUGUACAGUGGUGCCUCGCAAGACGAAAUUAAUUCGUUCCGUGAGUUUUGUCGUCUUGCGAUUUUUUUCGUCUUGCGAAGCACGGUGUCGGGAAAGUUUUGGAAAAGCUUCAAAAAUCACCAAAGUCUUUAAAAACCUCAAAAAAGGCUACCACACUGUGUUCUAUGAGUUGCUCCUCGAAGUCAAGUCGCAACUGUAUUAACGGUGUUAAGAAAAAGGAAACAAACUUGCAAGACGUUUCCGUCUUGCGAAGCAAGCCCAUAGGGAAAAUCGUCUUGCGAAGCAGCUCAAAAAACAAAAAACCCUUUCGUCUAGCGAGUUUUUUGUCUUGCGAGGCAUUCGUCUUGCGAGGUACCACUGUACCAAAAGAUUAUUAUUAACCUAUUAUAUACCAGCCAGUGUGGUGCAGUGGUUAGAACCUGGCAGACCAGGGUUCAGGUCUAACCCGCUGAUUUAGACCAGAUCACUCCAUGCAUAAUCCAACCUAACCCAGACCUGCUCCAAGUCCUGAACAACACACUUACUCCUGACAGCUUCCGUUCAAAAGUAUCCGUGCUGGAGGGAAGAUAUGGGAGAAGUUAUCUGCCUGAAUAAUCUCUUUCUCUUCCCCGUCCAUGCCUCAGUGCCUGGUGCUAGGUGUCUGCAAGGUUCAGUCAAGCAAAUCGAGCUCAAUCACAGCAAACAGCAACCCACUGAAAAUUCAAAUUGACGCUUGCUCCAAUUGAGCACUAAAGAGUGGGUAUUCAUAGGGAAAUCUAUGGAGCAAGAAAACCCCACAUUCAGACACUCAGCUUUUAGGUGCAAACCUGUGCCUGGAAAGAGUGGGUGUGGAAAAGGUAAGUGUGGAUAUGUUUUUAGUUACAUUAGGAGUGGAUGUGCAAAAGGUAAGUGUGGAUAUGAUUUUAGUUACAUUAGGAGUGGAUGUGCAAAAGGUAAGUGUGGAUAUGUUUUAGUUACAUUAGGUCAUGUGGACUAGGGGGUUGUGCUGAUAGCUAUUCAGAAAAGAUGUGUGUUGAGGGAGGAAUUGAAGGAUAUAACAUAACUUUCAGUGUGUUGCAGCAGGAAACCAGGAUACCUGUCUUCCAGCUCCUGCUCCCAUGUGAGUCACAUGACCUGCAUGAGAGCACAGCACCCAAAAACACAUGUGUCUUUUGGGGGCCGCAAUCUCUCACGUUUUUGGACACCAUACUCUCACACAAUAAUAAUUUAUUGUUUAUAUCCUGCCCAUCUGGCUGGGUUCCGCCAGCCAUUCUGGGUGGCUUCCAACAAAAUAUUUAAAAUGCAAUAAAACAUCAAACAUUAAAAACUUCCCUAAACAGGGCUGCCUUCAGAUGUCUUGUAAAAGUCAGAUAGUUGUUUAUUUCCUUGACAUCUGAUGGGAGGGUGCCAUUACUGAGAAGGCCCUCUACCUGGUUUCCUGUAACCUCACUGCUCACAGUGAGGGAACCGCCAGAAGGCCCUCAGAGCUGGACCUCAGUGUCCAAGCUGAACGAUGGGGGUAGAGACACUCCUUCAGGUAUCCUGGGCCGAGGCUGUUUAGGGCUUUAAAGGUCAGCACCAACACUUUGAACUGUGCUCAGAAACAUACUGGGAGACAACAGUAUAGGCCCCCCAAAAUGGGAUGUCUCAAUUUAAUUGAGACAGUUGAGGGGUAUGUUAUAAGAGUUGUGGCCUUUUGCAGACAAUUUGGGAAACAGUGCCAGGUAUCAGGGGCAGGAGGAAGUGGUCUGAGAAUCCAGGAACAGAAGCCUAUGCCCUAGACCAGACAUGUCCAACUUUCAGAUCCAGUAUUAAAAAAACUGGCAGUGAUCUACCAAAGUUGUUGAGCUUUUUUAAGGGAGUCAAAGUUGUUAAGUUGUUGAGCUUUUUUGUGUGGGGGAAGGAAGGGUCCAGCGAUCUACCACGGACACCCCACGAUCUACCUGUUGGAUAUCCCUCUCUCUCUCUCUCUCUCUCUCUCACACACACACACACACACACACACACUCUUUAAAAAAGAACACUGCCCUAACCUCCCUUGAGAACAUUCUGAAUACGACACCAUCCAACAUGUUUCACGAUUUCUACCUUAGGAUAAAGUAACAAUUCGCCAACGACUCUGGGAUGUAGAAGAUAAUGGGAGAGGGUUUACCCAAGCGACAUAUUUGUCAAAAUUACAAAUACCUAAAUAUAGACAGUCGUUUACCCUUGCUAGAUUCAACGGACUGCCGUCCGCCUUGUUGCAGGGCAUAUACAUGGGCAAACCAUUGUUUAGUACAGUAUGUGAGUCUGGUCUGAGGCUGUAAUAAAUUCAAUUCAAAUUCUCUUCAACCCCAGCUAUCUCUUAUAACAGAACUCUGGACUUGGUCAUACCAACAUACUUUCAGUACUGCUUUCAAUAUAUUUGAAAUCAAAUGAACACACGUCUGUCAAUCUUUGAAAGUCUGUAGAAGUAUAAUAAGUCUAUAGUUGAAACAAAGUAAUAGAUGCUAUCCUGUGGGCUAAGCAGUAAAACUUUUUAGUGGCC